GCCGGGGUGGCAGAGGAGUUAUGCGUCCGCCUGCAGAGCGGAUUACCUGGGUGCAAAUCCCAGCCCCGGCU
This 71-nucleotide transfer RNA is filed under the name Candidatus Nanosalinarum sp. J07AB56. It matches the Rfam family "tRNA". Rfam says of the family: Transfer RNA (tRNA) molecules are approximately 80 nucleotides in length. Lineage: Archaea; Methanobacteriati; Methanobacteriota; Candidatus Nanohaloarchaea. The record is from Rfam by way of RNAcentral.